This is a small nuclear RNA of Eptesicus fuscus (big brown bat), 104 nucleotides long. Lineage: Eukaryota; Metazoa; Chordata; Mammalia; Chiroptera; Vespertilionidae. The record is from RefSeq and is a predicted model, not a curated record.
GUGCUCGCUUAAGCAGCACAUAUACUAAAAUUGGAGUGAUACAGGGAUUUGCAUGGCCCUUGCGCAAGGAUGACACGCAAAUUUGUGAAGCGUUCCAUAUUAAA